UGAAGACGACGAGGUAGAUAGGUUGGAGGUGGAAGUGCAGCAAUGCAUGGAGCUGACCAAUACUAAUCGGUCGAGGGCUUAUCCUAAUAU
This 90-nucleotide ribosomal RNA is filed under the name Paenibacillus macquariensis subsp. macquariensis. Its description in RNAcentral is "partial 23S ribosomal RNA". It matches the Rfam family "Bacterial large subunit ribosomal RNA", at positions 2839 to 2925 of the family's 2925-position model. The record is from RNAcentral. Lineage: Bacteria; Bacillati; Bacillota; Bacilli; Caryophanales; Paenibacillaceae.